AACGCGAAGAACCUUACCUAAGCUUGACAUCCUUUUGACCGAUGCCUAAUCGCAUCUUUCCCUUCGGGGACAGAAGUGACAGGUGGUGCAUGGUUGUCGUCAGCUCGUGUCGUGAGAUGUUGGGUUAAGUCCCGCAACGAGCGCAACCCUUGCCUUUAGUUGCCAGCAUUAAGUUGGGCACUCUAGAGGGACUGCCAGGGAUAACCUGGAGGAAGGUGGGGAUGACGUCAAAUCAUCAUGCCCCUUAUGCUUAGGGCUACACACGUGCUACAAUGGGUGGUACAGAGGGCAGCCAAGUCGUGAGGCGGAGCUAAUCCCUUAAAGCCAUUCUCAGUUCGGAUCGUAGGCUGAAACUCGCCUACAUGAAGCUGGAGUUACUAGUAAUCGCAGAUCAGAAUGCUGCGGUGAAUGCGUUCCCGGGUCUUGUACACACCG
Molecule: ribosomal RNA, 435 nt
Filed under: uncultured bacterium
Lineage: Bacteria
Description: bacterial SSU rRNA
Rfam family: Bacterial small subunit ribosomal RNA
Source: RNAcentral